UCGAGAAUCUUCGGCAAUGGGCGCAAGCCUGACCGAGCGACGCCGCGUGGAGGACGAAGGCCUUCGGGUUGUAAACUCCUGUCGAGGGGGAACAAGGGGCGACGAAGAGUCGUCCUUGAGUGAUCCCUGGAGGAAGCACGGGCUAAGUUCGUGCCAGCAGCCGCGGUAAGACGAACCGUGCGAACGUUAAUCGGAAUUACUGGGCGUAAAGCGUGCGCAGGCGGUGAUGUAAGACAGAUGUGAAAUCCC
Molecule: ribosomal RNA, 249 nt
Filed under: uncultured Isosphaeraceae bacterium
Lineage: Bacteria; Pseudomonadati; Planctomycetota; Planctomycetia; Isosphaerales; Isosphaeraceae
Description: partial 16S ribosomal RNA
Rfam family: Bacterial small subunit ribosomal RNA
Source: RNAcentral